This 7959-nucleotide long non-coding RNA is filed under the name Homo sapiens (human). RNAcentral describes it as "HSALNT0380862". Lineage: Eukaryota; Metazoa; Chordata; Mammalia; Primates; Hominidae. The record is from RNAcentral.
UGUGACCCGGAGGCGCUGGGGCUGUCCUGGGUCGUCACAUGCGAGAAAUCGUCUCACCCCAGCCAGUGUGACGGAGUGAGAGCAAAAGAAAGUUUUGAUAGCAGCGUACGAUUUAUAUUCAGCUGUAUGCUGGGCAGGUCCAACUUGGCAUUUCUUGGCUGUAUCUCUGAAGGAAAGUCAUCUUAAUCUCUAUGAGCCUCCAUUUCCUCAGCUGUAAAAUGGGAAGAUCUUCCUCACACUGCUGUGGAUCUUGUUCUGUCGCCUAGGCUGGAGUGCAGUGACGUGACACAAUCACAGCUCACUGCAGCCUCGACCUCCCAGGCUCAAGUGAUCCUCCUACCUCAGCCUCCUAAGUAACUGGGACUAUAGGUGCAUGCACCACCAUACCCAGCUAAUUUUUAAGGUGUUUUUUUUUUUUUUGUAGAGACAGGGGUCUCACUAUAUUGUCCAAGCUAGCCUCAAACUCCUAGGCUUGAGUGAUCCUCCUGCCUUGGCCUCUCAAAGUGCUAGGAUUAUAAGCGUGAGCCACUAUGCCCAGCCUUGUUAUUUUUUAAAAAAGGAUUUUAAAAAAUUAUAAAAAGGAUAAUAGGAAGCUGUUAGAGGGUGAUUUAAUCAGCAGUAACAUUCUCACUCAGGCUGUUGUGGGAGAACAAACUGUAGGGAGGGGAGAGUGGGGGCAGGAGAUGGUUGGGAAGCUAGUGCAGUCGGCCAGGCAAGGAGCAAUAGUGACUUGGCCUGGGUGGGUCACUUUGUGAUGAGGAUUAAUGAAAAGGCCAGACUGGGGUAUUUUUUGAAGCUAGAGUUUGAUAAUUGGUUGUGAGGGGUGGGAGAGAGAGAUGAAUCCUGGCCAUUUAACUGCAGUGAAAAGACUGGAGGAAUAGUUGGACAAGCGGAGGGACGGGGCAUACGAGUUCUGUUUUGAACAUGACAGGCCUCCGAGGUGUCCACUAGGCAGACGGGAUGUCAGGGCAGGGUUACCACCAUGUAGAUGGUCACUGCUAAGAGCUGGGCACUCCUCCAAACACAUACAUUAAAUCAUUUAGUCUUCUCAGUAACCUAUGAGGCGAGAGCUGUAGCUAUCCCUGUCCAUAGGGGGCGUAUCCUGUGUGCCAUUUCAGAUGCCCGCGGCCUCACCUCUUGUUCCAGCCAUUGCCCCAGUGACCAGUUUUGCACAGGUCUUGACCAGUGCCGUGUAAAUGUCGCCUGGCAGGGCCUCUCCACAUGCCUCUCGCCCAACACCAUGAUGGGGGGACACCCAUGGAACCUGCUUGGCAUUAACACAUGAGCCGCCCAGAAGUGAAGGGGAGCUAACAUUCCAUGGGAUGACUCGAGAGGAGCCAAUGGAUAACUGUCCCCCUUCUUCCAGUGAGUUCUGAAGUACGUUUCAUAAAGCUUCACAGAAAGACUGAGUGGUGUUCACUCAGAGAGAUGUUAACACACUCCCAUAUUGACUCCCCCCUUUCUCUGUUUCAUUCCUCCUCCCCCUCACCCCUGCUCCCUGGGAUCAUGUUCCCAAAUAAACUACUCAUGCUUAAGCCUUUGUCUCAGGCCCCAUGUAAGAUCUGAUCUUACAUGGAGAAUUUAACAGCAACAACAUCACACCAGGGGCAUGCUCACCAGGGGCAGAGCAGGGGUUCACACCCCGGCAAGCUUCUCUACUCGCUUCCAUGUUGCCUCUCAAAGAUCCCAACCUCUAGAGGACAUUUAAAGGCACAGGCCUAGAUGGAAUCUAACCAUCUAACCGGGAGAGACUGUAAAUAAGAAAAAAGUCCCCACACCAUGCUCACAUUUAGAGAUCAAGAAGAGGAGGAGCCAGCGAAGGAGCCAGAGAAAGAGCUGCCAUCCGGGUAGGAGGAAGCCAGACCAGUGUGGAGUCCUGGACUCCAAAGAAAGACAGCGUUGCAAGGAGGAGCGAGUGCCCUACUGUGCAAACGCUGCUGAGAAAUUGAGGAGGUGAGACCAGGAGACAGACCUUUUGGAUGCGCCAGUAGGAGGUCACUGGUGACUUGGACAAGGGCAGUUUCAAUGGAGUGACAGAAACAAAAACUUGGCUGGUGUAGGCUAAGAGGGAAUGGAGGUGAAGAUUCGGAGAAGUAGCCAGCAGGGACAACCACUUCAAGGAGGGGUGCGUAAAAGGGAGGAGGAAGUGGAGCAGAAGCUGAAGAGGGUGUAGGGUCAAGGAAGAGUUUGUUUUGAAAGUGAGAGAGAUCAUAGCGCAGUUAUGUGCCGAAGGGAAUGGUCUGGCAGAGAGAAGGAGCUGGAUAGUGCAGGAGGGAGAAAGGUGAUUUCAGGCAGUCUUGAGUAAGUGAAGGGAUAUGGUGCACAAAAUGAAGGGAUUGGCCAGGGAUGCAAGAGGAGGCCAUCCCUCCAUCUGUCCAUCCAUCUAUCCAUCUGUCCAUCUGUCUGUCCAUCCAUCCGUCUGUCCGUCCGUCCGUCUGUCCACCCAUCCAUCCAUCCAUCCAUCUGUCCGUCUGUCCAUCUAUCCUUCCGUCCAUCCAUCCAUCCAUCCAUCUAUCCAUGCAUGCACCUUGGGAGAUCUGAUGGUGAGAGGCACGUACGUUCCAGCAGAUGACAUUUAGUUUCUCAGCAAAAUAAGAAGCAAGAUCUUUAACUAACAGCGAGAAACUAAGGGAAGGUGUUGAGGGUUGGAGAAGAUGUGAAACACUUAUCUGGAGAGUGGCGCAGUGAAUUUAGUAGAGAAAUAUAGUAAGAUUACUGGGCAAGCUGAGCGCCCACUUGAAGUUUGUGGUCAGAAGCGUCAAGUGCGGCUAUUCAGUAUGACUGUGAGUUUCCCCGGCAAUGCUCAGCUACUCAGUGCAGGUGCAGGGUGUUGGGUUUAAGCAGGGUGGAGGCUGUGUCAGGAGAUUCCAAAUGAAGGGAAAAGAGCAAGAAAGGAGAGGGCUUCCACAAAUGGGUGAUUCUUGUCAAGGCCUACAGAAUUGAGCUGGAGAAGGGGGUUGAAGGCAGUGAAAAAGGACAAGUUCAAAGGCAGGGAGUUCCCAAAGGGGACACAUCAUUGAAUGGAGGUAAUAGAGUAGAUAAGCUGAGAGCCGAGGAAGGGGUGGUCAGGGAGCAGGGGGUUCAGAAGUGCUGAGGCAAAACCCUGGCCAUGGGAGUGGGAGGCCCAGGCAGCAGAACGAGAGGUGGAGAGUGAGGAGGCCAAAGACCAAGAGUGGGAGGUGCUGGGUGGACAUCUACAUGGAUGACCUUCCUUGUCCACCAUCUCUUAAACAGCUCCCCAUCCUGCCACUACCCCUUCAUCUGCCUUUUCCUUUCAUAGCCCCUCUGUCUAACAUUAUUUUACGUAGGACUGGUUCAUUGGUUAAUUAUCCUUGCUGCCAUCAGAAUGUAAGCAUCUGAGGGCAGGGACAUUUUCUCUCUGGUCUACACUUAUAAACUCUUUUCUAAGAACAUACCUGGCACAGAUUAGGUGCUCAGAAACAUGUGCUGGACAAAAGAAUGAAUUAAUGUUAAGGUCUAGGAAAAGCAUGGAGGAGUGGUGGUGGAGAGGAAGACCGUGGGCCAGGUACUAAAAUCUGUGAAUGAGCAGGAGUGGCCUAGAGUAUGGUAAAUACUAGAAGGGAUGGUGGAUGGUCUGGUCUGAUGGCAUAGCUGCAAAGGAGAUGCAGACUUAGGCUGAGGAGGAAGGGGGAGAAACCUACAGGUGGCCAUGAAAGCAGGGAGGACAACUCGCUGCCUCCAGGCAUACUGAUGUGGAAGAAGAAAACAGAGCCAAGACAGGAGGUGGCUGCAAGGAAGCUGUGUGUGGGGGUCAGGCAGGUUUGCAGUAGAACAGGAUGGUGAAAGGAAUGUUCAAAGGGAAAGUCGAGUGGAUGGGGAGAUUUUGCUGAUGACAAACCAUAAGUUCCCGAGAGCAGAGUGAAAGGAUCUGGGGGAUUGUGUCAGAUUAGGGGAAUAGAGCUACAUGGGGGUGAAAGUCUUGGGGGUGAAGGAUGAACAACAGUGUCAGGCUUCUGGAGGUGUCUAGGGACACAAGGCCACAGGGCAUGAUGGGCUCUCCUGAAGGUCUCUCUUGGGCAAGUGGGUACCCCUGCUCACGCCAGCUCCUCCUCCAGCCAGGGCCCACGGGCCAUGGACCACAGUGAGGCAGUGAUAUUGGCGUUGGAGGGGCCUUGCCAGACACUGAGUGUUCGGGGUGGGAGGAGAGGGCAGCUUUGGGUAUUGGAAGGAAAGUCGAGCAGGCACUCCGGAGACUAGAUUCUCAUCCAAAUCUUUCCUACAAACCAUGACGUAACAUUGGGCAAAAUGGUCAUGAUUUUCCUUAUCUAUAAAAUAGAGAGGAGAGGAGGUCUCUCUUAGCUGUGCAAAUCCUGGCCUCUGUCUCCUUCUUUCCCUGACUUCUUCUAGCUCCUGUCUCCUCAGCCCUCCCGACUUGUAGCUAAGCCCUGGCUUUGUAUUAACCACCCUCCUGCUGUCAGCAUCGCUGAGAGGCAUAGCCAAGGCCUGCCCUCUUCCUCCUCCCUGGCUCCAAAAUGCUCCAUGCACUGUCCCAUGCCACUCUGAUCCUGAGCAGCCAAGUGGGCAGAAUGACACUCCUUUGGGCGUGGAAGUGAACAUCAGCCAUGAGUAGGGAGAGGAAACUGCCCACAGAGAGGGCAGACUCCAUCAGGGGCAAGUGACAAAGCCACAGACUGGCAUGAAGAGGCUUCCCAGGCCCUCUGGAAGGCAGUGAAGCCAGCAGCCUGGCUCCUGGGAUGGGCUGUCCCCUAUUCAGCAGCUCCAUGGGCCUGGAAGUGGGCCCAGGGAGCCAGCCAGAAGGAGGCUGUGGCCAGAGGCUUGAUUUGCAGCCCAGGACUAGGACGCAGGGUUCUCAUCCAGGCUUCACCCACAGCAAAUGUGCGACUCUCCCUGGCCCUCUGGGUGGGGAUUAUAAUAACUACCUUGCUUACCCCAGUUGCUGGAGGCCAAUAUUCACUGAACAUUCAUCAUGAGUCAGGCAUUCAGUAAUCCUCACAAUGGCCCUAGAAAUUGGCCUGUACUAUUUUCAACCCUUAGGGAGGAGGUGACAGACACAUAGAACAUCUAAGUAACUUGCCUGACACUCCACAGCUUGUAAGUGGCAGGGCCAGGCUCUUAGCCCUAAACCAUACAUUAGAGAUUUAUUAUCAUUUAGGUCCCUCAACAAUCUUGUGAUGCAGGUAUUACCAUCCAUUUUACAAACAUGGCAAUGGCUCAGAAGUCUUCAGUUAUUUGCCCAGGGUCACUUGGCUGACUGUAGCAGAAUCAGGAUUUGAACCCAGGCCCAACUUCAAAGCCAGUCCUCUUCUCAUUGGGUUGCGCCCCCAGCAUUAGCACAGGGACAGUUCCUCAGGCUGACUGCCCAAGGCCCCAUCUGUGCAAACAGGAGAGGAAAUGGCAGCCUAACUCCAGGCAGGGCCCGGGCUCAGAAGGGGGUCUACAGGGCUGAAGAGGCAGCUGGCCAGAGAUUCCACAGGAAGCAUCUUGUUGACACAUCUUCAUCACUUUGGAAUUUGAGCAACAACAUUUACCCCUUCUGAAACUCACCCAGAGGAAGCGGAUUUUCUGACGCAUAUGAAGAGUGAGAACUGUCUACAUCUAAGUCUUCUUUGAGAACAAUACCAGCUGAGCGGCUAUUUACAUUCCAGCUUCUUUUGAGAAUCUCUGAAGAUGAUUAAGUCAUUGUCAGCUGGCCCAGAACCAUAUCCUGCUCCACAAGCCUCGUCCUUGGCAAGAAGUUGCACCUGCCCAGAGAGAAAACCUUUUGAAACUGGCACAAAGGCACUGGAGAGACUGGCAGGGCCCCCUACUUGACGAUCUGGCUCAUCCAUCUGCACACUGACCACGCUAAGAGCUGUCUGCAGUGAUGGAAACCUUCUCUAGCUGUGCUGUCCUCUAUAGUGGCACCAGCUGCCUGUGGCUACUGAGCACUUCAACUGUGGCUGCAGAGACUAUGUUAAAUUGUAUUUAAUCAUAAUUAAUUUAAUUGUAAACAACUACAUGUGGCUAGUGGUUUCUGUACUGGGCACUGCAGGUGCACAUUUCCUGCUGGCCAUGGACAGUAAGCUCCAUAAGAGACUAAUUGUGCCUGGUUUGCUUAUAGGCUUAUCCUCAGCACCUGCACCAGCCUAGAAUAUGAUUGGCACUCUAUUAAUUAAAAGUUCCCAGGUAAAUGAAUUAGUGGAUUCUCUGUUUCCUCCACUAUGCCACAACCUCCUUAAGGGCAGAGAUGGUGUCUUCAAAAAAAAAAAAUUCUGGUCAAAAACACAUAAGAUCUACCACCUUCACCAUUGUUGUGUCCAGUUCAGUAGUAUUAACUACACUUACAUUGUGAUACAACAAAAGAUUGUGUCUUUUUACAUUCUUAGGACCCAGCACAGUGUCUGGCACAUAAUCUUAGUAAACACUGGCAGAGCACAUGCCUUUGCCAAGGCCAGAACAGAGGUUCAGUGCCAUCCAUUACCACCCUUUCACACAUCCACUGGGGCUUUAAAAACAACCUGGAAUGAAAGCUGUUGAGUCUAGAGAAAUGGGCUACAAAGAAGGUUUACAAGAUAAUCUAUUAAGAAUAGGGAAUACAGGCCGGGCACGGUGGCUCACACCUGUAAUCCCAGCACUUUGGGAGGCUGAGGUGGGUGGAUCAUUUGAGGUCAGGAGUUCGAGACCAGCCUGGCCAAUGUGGUGAAAUCCUGUCUCUACCAAAAAUUAUCCAGGCAUGGUGGUGCGUGCCUGUAGUCCCAGCUACUUGGGAGGCUGAGGCAUGAGCAUCGCUUGAACCCGGGAGGCAGAGGUUGCAGUGAGCCGAGAUCGCGCCACUACACCCCAGCCUGGGUGACAGAGCAAGACUCCGUCUCAAAAAAAUAAAAAAACCUAAAAUAAAGCUUAAUACACAUGACAUAUGGAUUGGCAGUCACACAUAAAUAUGAUUGAUAAGGAUACAAAUAUUUGGAGGUGCUGCCUGACCAUCUGUUGCUGAUUAUGUGGAGAUCACUUGUCUAGGACCCUGAGAUAGACUGAUGUUUCUAACUCUGCCACACACGGUCUCUCCCACCCUCCAGACACUUUCUUCCUUCAGUUCAGGGAACCCUCAAUACACAGUAAGAAUGAAGAGGUUGCAGGUCUGAGCUUGAGGAGGACUGGACUAAAAGGAGUUUAGCCCUGCCAGGGCAUUCCGAGGACUGUGAAGAUCCGGAAUAUUGGCCACAGGCAUCUAUGUAUUUGAAUCAUAUCCAUUUUUGAGCUCACUCCUAGCAGAGGAGUCAAAACUUACGUUCUGGCCCCCAGGUACAUUUCCAGUCUCUUACUCAUAAAAUUGUGACAUACCCCCAGGGGUGCCCAAAGGGGUUUGUGAAUCAAGAUAGUUUGAGGAGAAUCGAUUUUCUGAUCCUCAGUUUUUCUAUGCUCUUUUUCCUAAAAGCGAUAUUCCUAAAAAGGCAUCCAAGACAAGGCAUCCCCUUUCCCAUUUGCUGGGGAAGACAGCUUUACAAGAGAAAGCUGCCCCUCUCACCCAUGUGACCCCCCACUCUGGGGCACUGCCCUAGGGGUAGAAAUCUCCAAGGCAUCAAACAAAGUGACUCCUGGGGGUCAAGUGACAGAGGAGCAAGUCUUUCUGCAAGUCAAGUGGUUUCCAGCUCUGCUUUCAGCAAAAUUGAAAGAGGCACUAAUCAAAUUGCCAGCGGAUCAUAAAAAAACAUUUUGAUAAUAAUGUUAUUAGGCAUAUAACUUGGAAGAAGUUCAAAGAAUUGAAUGGCAUCCUCAUAACAAACUCAUCGGCUUCCAUUUAUUUAUUUAUGUGGACAGUGUUUCUCAAUGUUUAAACCUACAAAAGACUAAACAUGGGAGUAAACUUCAUGUUGAACCUUGUGUGAGUCUAGCAAUAAGUCAUCCACAUAUACAUACACUAAUUGGGAAGAAAACCUGUCCCAACCCCAACUAUUUUAUUAAGAGAUGCAUUUCCAAUAAAAAUUUACCUUUUAUGUU